CGGAGGAAAAGAAACCAACAGGGAUUGCCCUAGUAACGGCGAGUGAAGCGGCAACAGCUCAAAUUUGAAAUCUGGCCUCGGCCCGAGUUGUAAUUUGCAGAGGAUGCUUCUGGCGCGGUGCCUUCCGAGUUCCCUGGAACGGGACGCCACAGAGGGUGAGAGCCCCGUAUGGUCGGACACCAAGCCUGUGUGAAGCUCCUUCGACGAGUCGAGUAGUUUGGGAAUGCUGCUCUAAAUGGGAGGUAAAUCUCUUCUAAAGCUAAAUACCGGCCAGAGACCGAUAGCGCACAAGUAGAGUGAUCGAAAGAUGAAAAGCACCUUGAAAAGGGGGUUAAAUAGUACGUGAAAUUGUUGAAAGGGAAGCACUUAUGACCAGACUUGGGCCGGGCGGCUCAUCAGGGGUUCUCCCCUGUGCACUCCGCCCGGCACAGGCCAGCAUCGGUUCUCGUGGGGGGAUAAGACCGUCAGGAACGUAGCACCCUCCGGGGUGUGUUAUAGCCUGGCGGACGAUACCCCCGUGGGGACCGAGGUCCGCGC
This 537-nucleotide ribosomal RNA is filed under the name fungal endophyte. RNAcentral describes it as "eukaryotic LSU rRNA". It matches the Rfam family "Eukaryotic large subunit ribosomal RNA", at positions 51 to 600 of the family's 3401-position model. Lineage: Eukaryota; Fungi. The record is from RNAcentral.